Molecule: long non-coding RNA, 1181 nt
Organism: Sphaerodactylus townsendi
Lineage: Eukaryota; Metazoa; Chordata; Lepidosauria; Squamata; Sphaerodactylidae
Exons: 2
Source: RefSeq, a predicted model, not a curated record
GGAGGUCAGAAGAGACUGCAGGCUGCCGGGAGCCCAGCCAGCAGGGGGGGAAGGAAGGGAGGAGGAGUCCAGGCCGAGGUUGAGGGCCCUUGGAGGCAGCAGGACUUCCUGCUGCCUCAUCAGUCUUGCGGGCUUUGGACAGGGCAAGGCAUGCGAAAACGAUGAGACAGCAGGACUUCCUGGUCACGUGGGGGGCCAAUUUUGUGCCCCCCACAUGACCAGAAGAGUGGUGCCCAGGGACAAAGGGGACCCUUUGUCCCUAGGUAGAUACACCAUUGGUCAUGGGGGUGUACCCAGUGGUACACCACUUCAGCAGAACUGGUUGUUAAAAUGGUGCUUGUAAACAACCAGUUGUUAAAAUUAUUUGAAUCCCACCACUGGAACCGGUUGUUAAAUUAGUUGAAUCCCACCACUGGAUGCACCCCUUCUCUCAUGGAAUCCAAAAAGAGGGCAGAUCCAUCCACGUAGUAUAUUAUACAUGUGGCAAACCACUUUUGUGUGGGGACUCUCUUGGUCUUACAGUAACCACCAGGCUUUUUGUGUGCAAUUAGUGCCGCCAGUUUCUACUUAAUAUGUUAAUUUUAAUUGCUGUGACUUUUACUGCUCUUAAUCACUUUUUCUUUGUAUAAUUAUCCUUGCUGUACAUUGAGCCGUUCUGGGAAAAGCUAUUUAUAAACACUGCAAAUAAAUGAUGAUUUUUUAAAUUUCCACUUUCCCUACCUGGGCCUUCAGGAAAAUCCAACUCCAUGCAUCUCGAGAUGAUCCACAUAAGCAAGUUGCGCUAGAUUUUAUAGUGAGAUAAGGAGAAUCAUCACACACACACAAAAGGAGUUUCUCAGGUUCCAUGAGUUUUCCUCUGUCAAUGAGAAUGGAGGUAUCACUGGGGGCUUUUUUGCAUAAAAAGAACUUUGAUACAAGUUGAGGAUUUAACAAAAAGAUCUCAAAUUUUCUUUAAUAGCCAUAGAUGCUUCCUGGACAGGAAAAGCCAGGGUGGGGUAUGUGUGUGUCGUAUGUGUCGGAGAGAGAAACAAUGUUUUUUUGAAUUUGGAACCAGCAGAAAGAAUUUCUAGCUGAAUUUAACUAAAACUGGAGAUUGUUCUGCCGGCAAAAGGAAGUGCUUGUUUGCCUCCAUGUAUGUUCCGCUUGUAUAUUUGUAAAUAAAGCAAUUAUGAUGAAAGACA